UGAGGAAUAUUGGUCAAUGGGCGCGAGCCUGAACCAGCCAAGUCGCGUGGAGGGAAGACGGUCCUAUGGAUUGUAAACCUCUUUUGUCGGGGAGCAAAAGAUCCUACGUGUAGGAUUCCGAGAGUACCCGAAGAAAAAGCAUCGGCUAACUCCGUGCCAGCAGCCGCGGUAAUACGGAGGAUGCGAGCGUUAUCCGGAUUUAUUGGGUUUAAAGGGUGCGCAGGCGGAAGAUCAAGUCAGCAGGUAAAUUGAGAGCUCAACCUCUUCGAAGCCGUUUGAAACUGGUUUCUUGAGUGAGCGAGAAGUAUGCGGAAUGCGUGGUGUAGCAGGUGAAAUGCAUAGAUAUCACGCAGAACUCCGAUUGCGAAGGCAGCAUACCGGCGCUCAACUGACGCUCAUGCACGAAAAGUGUGGGGUAUCGAACAGGAUUAGAUACC
This 437-nucleotide ribosomal RNA is filed under the name uncultured bacterium. RNAcentral's name for it is "bacterial SSU rRNA". It matches the Rfam family "Bacterial small subunit ribosomal RNA", at positions 355 to 786 of the family's 1533-position model. The record is from RNAcentral.